RNAcentral lists this transfer RNA (83 nucleotides) under Nephroselmis olivacea. RNAcentral describes it as "tRNA-Leu". It matches the Rfam family "tRNA". Rfam says of the family: Transfer RNA (tRNA) molecules are approximately 80 nucleotides in length. Lineage: Eukaryota; Viridiplantae; Chlorophyta; Nephroselmidophyceae; Nephroselmidales; Nephroselmidaceae. The record is from RNAcentral.
GCGGAUAUGAUGAAAUUGGUAGACAUAUCAGGUUUAGAUUCUGAUGAACUUUGUUCGUGGGGGUUCAAAUCCCUCUAUCCGUA